Coturnix japonica (Japanese quail) is the source of this 3193-nucleotide non-coding RNA. The record is from RefSeq and is a predicted model, not a curated record. Lineage: Eukaryota; Metazoa; Chordata; Aves; Galliformes; Phasianidae.
CUUCCGGGUUAGAUCUAGUGCGCAGGCGCAGCUAUUCCACUCGCAAAAGGGCGGAACUGAGGUGUCAUCAGUGAUAAUACGCAUGCUCUUAAGCGUGUACCGGAUUGGCUGCAAGGUGUUAGCGGCUGGCGCGUGCGCAGAAGCCCGCCAGUCUCCUGGGACGUGGUGAGAUGGCGGGGCAGGAGGUGGCGCGGAUGGGUUGGUUUUGCCUGGACGCAAUAUGGAGGAGCUGAUGUUCUACAUGCUGAUGUUGAGCUCAUAGCCUAAAGACACUUGGAUUCACACUGCUCCCAAGGAGGGUGUUACUUGCUUCCAGGCACUUGUCCAGCUGAGACACUGCAAUGAGGGAAAGAUGGGGAAUGAGGCAGGAAGGAGGGUCCACAGAAGGAAAGGAAAAAGAAGGCACAGGACUAUUUCACCUGCCCCCAGGAACUGAGGUCCUGUAAAGGGAUAAGGCAAGUCCCAUUGGAGAGAACGGGAAGGAGGCUAUGCUGUGUAGAUCUGUGGGAAAAGGACGCUCAAGGCUCACCAGCUUGACUGCACAGCCAGGUUACAGCCUUUGCCUCCAGCAAGUCACAUAGCUCAUGGUAACACCUGUUGUGUCUCUGCAGCCAGGUCACAGCCAUCACUGUUGCCCAGAAAUUAGGAUCCAUGACCUGUAGAACAAUCAAUGACACUGCUGUACAUCCUCCCUGACCCUCACUCCUUCCCACCCCCCUCCUUUGUGGCUAGUGGUUUCUGAUCCUUUCACUAGUUCUCCCUGCCCCAGGACUAAACGCUGCCUCCAGAAAUGAUCCUCUUCUUACCUCACCAGGCAUCUUUCCCUUGAUUUCAGCCUCAUCGACCUGUAGCACAGAAGCUAAACCUGAGGUGAGGGUCCAGGAGUCAUCUACAUUCUGCAGUGCCACCAGCUCUCUGCACUCAGCUAUGGUUUCACUCAUCCAUGGCCCAAAAAUUGGAGAGCACAAAACAAAUGUUGUUGAAUCCACAUACUUGAGAGAGGAAGUCGAUGGUUGUGGCUGUUUAGGUGCUGUGAAACAAGACAUGAACAGGGAAUCACAGGAAGAUGACUCCUCUCUGUUCCCCUGUGCAGUGCCCCAGAACACUACUCUUCCUUGGGCAGUUACCUUCAGACUGAGACCCUACCCGCAUGUCCUCAACAUAGUCCUGUACCCAGCCCUUUUUGGACAUCCCUCACCCCUCUUCCCUUGACAUUUCUGCCCAGCCAGGUGCCCCAGUGGUCUCCUGACAUCCUCAACAUAUAUCAUCCAAAUGUGCUUUCAUGCACUGAAGCACUGGCCCUGACACCUCCACGGGCAUCUUUGACCUGGAUCUCACAAUUGCUGAAGGACUUUCAACUUUAGGAAUAAUUAAGGGAAAGAUCAAACUCACUAGUUUCAAGACCAAGAGCAGGACAUGUAAAAAAGCAACGGACUUUCAACUUUAGGAAUAAUUAAGGGAAAGAUCAAACUCACUAGUUUCAAGACCAAGAGCAGGACAUGUAAAAAAGCAACACAACACUCCUAUCAUACAUUAAUUAAUUCCUGUAUUUCCUAUCUGUGUCAAAGUCUCGUACCUUCCUUGUGGGCCCCAUGCUGGAGUAAGUUAGCAAUGUCAUUGGUGAGACGCUUGAUGGCACUCCUGCACUGCAGUGUACCAGCUAGGUGGGUUCCAUAUGGUCUUAGGAAAGCAGGAAGUGCUGGUCAAGGAGCCACGUAGCAUAAGGAUCUUGCAGGGAACAAAUGACUGGCGAGGUGGCAGCAGUGCUAGGGGCCCUUUGAGAGCAAAGAGGGAAAGGGGCUGAGUUAAGGCCAUGGAGAAAAGCACCUGUUGAUGAUGGGGCUUUUGCAUAUUGUGAUUGGAAUUUUGGCUCCUGUGGAAUGAGAACAACAGAAGGAAAUACCUCUCAAGUUCUUUUCCCCAAGUGCCUUUCCUUACCACAGUACCAGUGGGCCCUCCGUGAUGUACGAACGACCACAUAGCUGGUGAAGGGGCAGAUGAUCCCAGAUGUGAGACUGAUUUCAAUGGCACGCUGCAUUGGUUCAUCCCCUGACCCUCUUGCAACCUCUAGCAACAGCUUCUCCAGCAAGUUUCUUGCAGCCAGAUGAUGACCAGCCAUCCUGGGGAUAGAGUGGGGUGAGGCCUGUCAACCUGGGGAGAAAGGGUGUGGGUUCUCUCCUUUCAGGAGUGAGGAUGUGCAGAGGGAAGACCUGGAUGCAUGGACCUUUCUGUCUUGAAGGAAGUGAUGCCCAUGUUCCUGGAUCCUGUCCAUGUGGGUUCAGAACAGGGAAGGAGACCAUGCUUGGACACUUGGGAUCUCUCCCAAUUUGGUAUGGUGUGAGGAAGCUAGGAAUGUGUGAGCUAUCUGUGUCCUCCAUCAGCUGGAGUCCAUGUGUAGAAAACAAGGAGAUGCUCUUACCGGCCAUCUCCAUGUGAGCAUAGUGGGAACUGGAUCUUGUGAGUGACAUCCUGGCCAUCCAGGUUGAACUGCAAAGUCAUGACACCACUGGCCUCCUUCAUAUCCUGGAAACACAUGUAAAAUUACUGGAGACACAUGAUGGCUGCUGGGGGAUAUUUGGAAGUUACUGGAAGAUUACUGGUGGUUAUUUGGAGGUCAUUGGAAGUUUUCUCCUACAACCCACUGGUGGAGACUGAGUGAAGGACUGCAUGUUGCUUUGCUGCCUGCCAGGUUAACCACAGCAGAUGGCCUGCACAAGCCUCGUACAGCCGCUGGGUCUGGAUGGGAAGGAGAGGAACAGAAAGCAGAUCGCUAACCAGGCCACGGGCUGCUCAUCCCAUGCUGCUCUCAUGGUUCUCCCAUGCUUUCCCAAAUGCUGUUACCUCAUCCUGCAGCACAGCCUUGACCUUGGCAUCCUCACUGCAGGCCUGGAAAGAAUAGAUGGCCAUAUGGUGUUCCAGGGGGAAGACGAAGGUGACUUCUGAGGAUCUCAGACUCUCGUUACGGUAUAUCAGUUCAGAAACCGCGUCAGCUACAUAAUCCUGGAUAGCAACAUCCACCACAGCACUACAGAGGGGCAGUGACCACAGGGGAUACUACUGCUCCCAGCUGCUUCCAGAAGAGAGAAAAUGGACAGCCUUCCACUCUCCCCGUGUGUUCUCCAGAGCAAACUACCAUGCAAACUGUAGCACCAGUGGACUACUGGUGCAGUAUCAAUGCUGCUCUAGCUACAAG